RNAcentral lists this unclassified non-coding RNA (561 nucleotides) under Meloidogyne enterolobii. RNAcentral describes it as "partial intergenic spacer". Lineage: Eukaryota; Metazoa; Nematoda; Chromadorea; Rhabditida; Meloidogynidae. The record is from RNAcentral.
CUGUGUUUUCAAUUUCUCAAUAUUUAAGAAAAAAUUCUCUAAGGCAAAGUGGGCGGGGCUAUUUGUUGUUCGCUGUUCGCGGGAAUGGUUUAAGGCAAAGAGAAAACGGGCAAUUAUAAAAAUGUGUGGGAGAAAAAUUAGGAUUAAAAAAAUUUUUUUGAAGAAUUAAAUUUUUCAAAAAAAAUAAAGCUUAUAAUAAUAAACUUUAAUCUUUUUUUAAAUUUAAAGUUUAUUAUUAUAAGCUUUAUUUUUUUAAAAAAUUUAAUGUUAUUAUUAUUUUAAGCUUUAUUAUCAGAUAUUUUAAAGCAGCUUUAUUCUAAAUCUGAUAAUAAUCAUAAGCUUUAUAAUCCUAAUUUUUCUCCAGCUGCAAUAUUUAUUUGGCUCCAGACAAUUGUCAGGAAUUGCCAUUGAUAACUUUUGUGAAAGUGCCGCUGAUAAAUUGUAAAUAAUUUAGAUAUCUUUUGCAAAGGAAAUUAAAUAUAUAAUAAGCUGUCAUUAAUUUUUUAAUUUCAGAUUAUUUUCGAGAUUUUAUUCUAAAAUUAUCAAUAUAAUCAAUAUUAA